This 69-nucleotide microRNA precursor is filed under the name Bombyx mori (domestic silkworm). Its description in RNAcentral is "mir-2774 microRNA precursor family". It matches the Rfam family "mir-2774 microRNA precursor family". The record is from Rfam by way of RNAcentral. Lineage: Eukaryota; Metazoa; Arthropoda; Insecta; Lepidoptera; Bombycidae.
AAAACAUUCGGACCGUCGGUCGGUACCGAGCAAUUUCAACCGCUCGGUUGAAGAUCUACCCUUUUUCGU